GAUGAACGCUAGCUACAGGCUUAACACAUGCAAGUCGAGGGGCAGCAUGAACAUAGCUUGCUAUGUUUGAUGGCGACCGGCGCACGGGUGCGUAACACGUAUCCAAUCUGCCCGUCACUCGGGGAUAGCCUUCUGAAAGGAAGAUUAAUACCCGAUGGGAUGCAUUUCCGGCAUCGGAGAUGCAUUAAAGAUUUUAUCGGUGACGGAUGAGGAUGCGUACGAUUAGCUAGUUGGCGGGGUAACGGCCCACCAAGGCUACGAUCGUUAGGGGUUCUGAGAGGAAGGUCCCCCACACUGGAACUGAGACACGGUCCAGACUCCUACGGGAGGCAGCAGUGAGGAAUAUUGGGUCAAAUGGGCGGGAGCCUGGAACCAGCCAAGUAGCGUGAAGGAUGACUGCCCUA
This 404-nucleotide ribosomal RNA is filed under the name uncultured bacterium. Its description in RNAcentral is "bacterial SSU rRNA". It matches the Rfam family "Bacterial small subunit ribosomal RNA", at positions 28 to 419 of the family's 1533-position model. The record is from RNAcentral.